This 607-nucleotide long non-coding RNA is filed under the name Nicotiana tabacum (common tobacco). RNAcentral describes it as "long non-coding RNA (NTAB_LNC017215)". The record is from RNAcentral. Lineage: Eukaryota; Viridiplantae; Streptophyta; Magnoliopsida; Solanales; Solanaceae.
CCCUUUCUACCAUGACUGCAAAGACACCAGAAGAACUUUAGUACAAACUUAACUUUUAAUUUUAUUCUUUUAAAUUCUGUAAAAUGUAAUCUACUGUGACUAGAUAUGCUUUUACUUAAUAACCUCCCGGAUAUAUUUACAGCUUGUUAUUUUGCUAGAGAGCUAUGGAGGAUUGUUGUGGGCGCUCAAAUUGGAUGGAUGUUAUAGUGAAUGCUGAAAUUCAUAGUCAUAGUCAUGAUGGGGGUUCUCUUUCGUCGUCGAAUGCAACAUCUCUUCCCCCCCUCUCAGGCCGCAAUCUUCCGAUGAGACUCAACUAUUAAUCUUGCAGUGAGUGAUGGACUUCCACUGGUGCUGCAAUCAGUGCCUUUUCGAUUUCCAUUGUCCAAGUAACAGCAAAAGUAAAGACUAGGGGAGGUCGUGCCUUUCUGACGAAGAACAAAAGUAUAUAUGAUGUUAAAUUAUACUCCCUCCGUUUCAAUUUAUGUGAACCCAUUUGACUGGGCACGGAGUUUAAGAAAAGAGAGAAGACUUUUAAACUUGUGGUGUAAAAUGAGGCACAUAUAUUUUGUGUGGCUAUAAAUCAUUGCAUAAAGGUAAAUUAUUUCCA